GGGGAAUUGUUCGCAAUGGGCGCAAGCCUGACGACGCAACGCCGCGUGGAGGAUGAAGAUCUUCGGGUCGUAAACUCCUGUCGAGCGGGACGAAUGCUUUGCGGCCGACUAAUCCGCAGAGGUGACGGUACCGCUAAAGGAAGCCCCGGCUAAAUCCGUGCCAGCAGCCGCGGUAAUACGGGGGGGGCAAGCGUUGUUCGGAAUUACUGGGCGUAAAGGGCUCGUAGGUGGCCAAUUAAGUCAGACGUGAAAUCCCCAGGCUCAACUUGGGAACUGCGUCUGAUACUGGUUGGCUUGAAUUCGGGAGAGGGAUGCAGAAUUCCAGGUGUAGCGGUGAAAUGCGCAGAUAUCAGGAGGAACACCGAUGGCGAAGGCAGGUCUCUGGGCAUUAACUGACGCUGAGGAGCGAAAGCAUGGGGAGCGAA
RNAcentral lists this ribosomal RNA (425 nucleotides) under uncultured bacterium. RNAcentral describes it as "bacterial SSU rRNA". It matches the Rfam family "Bacterial small subunit ribosomal RNA", at positions 356 to 772 of the family's 1533-position model. The record is from RNAcentral.